RNAcentral lists this signal recognition particle RNA (98 nucleotides) under Steroidobacteraceae bacterium. Its description in RNAcentral is "signal recognition particle sRNA small type". It matches the Rfam family "Bacterial small signal recognition particle RNA". From Rfam's summary of the family: The signal recognition particle (SRP) is a universally conserved ribonucleoprotein involved in the co-translational targeting of proteins to membranes. Archaeal SRP consists of a 7S RNA and homologues of the eukaryotic SRP19 and SRP54 proteins. In most bacteria, the SRP consists of a 4.5S RNA and the Ffh protein (a homologue of the eukaryotic SRP54 protein). Lineage: Bacteria; Pseudomonadati; Pseudomonadota; Gammaproteobacteria; Steroidobacterales; Steroidobacteraceae. The record is from RNAcentral.
CACUGGCUCCUCCGCGACGACCAGCCGCAAACCCCGCCAGGCCCGGAAGGGAGCAACGGUAGCGGCGAUGUCGGGCGCCGGAGAUCAGGCUGGUGCGG